RNAcentral lists this transfer-messenger RNA (401 nucleotides) under Candidatus Omnitrophota. RNAcentral's name for it is "JAMWCL01 sp023819035 Standard tmRNA". It matches the Rfam family "transfer-messenger RNA". Rfam says of the family: Bacterial tmRNA, also known as 10Sa RNA or SsrA, is named for its dual tRNA and mRNA-like properties. Lineage: Bacteria; Pseudomonadati. The record is from RNAcentral. RNAcentral also lists the same sequence under 1 other name.
GGGGGUGAAAGGGCUCGACUUAGGUAAACAGGGUAAAAGUAGCAUGUCGCGGAAGCGAGGAUAGCCGCGUUAUCAAUCCUGGCAAAAAUAAACGCAAAUCCAGUAAUGGAUAGCCGGCUAAUGGUGCCAGUAAUGGCUCCACUAGCUGGUUGCGUGCCAAUCUUCGCUAAUUAAUUUAGCGAAGUCCCUCCUCAUCCUUGCCUAUGGGAUGGGAGAGGGCCGGUAGUAGGCUGGUUCCAAUUGGUUAGCCUUUGAGAUUGGAACGAGAAUGAGAAAGGCUGCUGCUUGUGCAAUCCUGUCUAUCGGAGUACACAAGAGUAAGAAUAAAAGAUAGACUAAACAUGUAGUGACUUUUAUCCUGAUACCUAAGGACGCCGGUUCGAUUCCGGCCACCUCCACCA